RNAcentral lists this ribosomal RNA (253 nucleotides) under uncultured bacterium. Its description in RNAcentral is "partial 16S ribosomal RNA". It matches the Rfam family "Bacterial small subunit ribosomal RNA", at positions 524 to 776 of the family's 1533-position model. The record is from RNAcentral.
UACGUAGGGUGCGAGCGUUAAUCGGAAUUACUGGGCGUAAAGCGUGCGCAGGCGGCUUUGCAAGACAGAUGUGAAAUCCCCGGGCUCAACCUGGGAACUGCAUUUGUGACUGCAAGGCUAGAGUACGGCAGAGGGGGAUGGAAUUCCACGUGUAGCAGUGAAAUGCGUAGAUAUGCGGAGGAACACCAAUGGCGAAGGCAAUCCCCUGGGCCUGUACUGACGCUCAUGCACGAAAGCGUGGGGAGCAAACAGG